CCUACGGGAGGCAGCAGUAGGGAAUUUUUCGCAAUGGGGGCCAACCCUGACGAAGCAAUGCCGCGUGGAUGAAGAAGGCCUUCGGGUUGUAAAGUCCUUUCGUGGGGGACGAAAAGGCGGAUCUGAAUACGGUCUGCUAUUGACGUGAACCCAAGAAGAAGCACCGGCUAACUCCGUGCCAGCAGCCGCGGUAAUACGGAGGGUGCGAGCGUUAAUCGGAAUUACUGGGCGUAAAGGGCGCGUAGGCGGUGGGUUACGUCUGCCGUGAAAUCCCCGGGCUCAACCUGGGAAUGGCGGUGGAAACGGGCUGACUGGAGUAUGGGAGAGGGUGAUGGAAUUCCAGGUGUAGCGGUGAAAUGCGUAGAGAUCUGGAGGAACACCAGUGGCGAAGGCGGUCACCUGGCCCAAUACUGACGCUGAGGCGCGAAAGCGUGGGGAGCAAACAGGAUUAGAUACCCUGGUAGUCCACGCCCUAAACGAUGGAUACUGGAUGUUUGGCGCCUUAGGUGCUGAGUGUCGUAGCUAACGCGAUAAGUAUCCCGCCUGGGAAGUACGGCCGCAAGGUUAAAACUCAAAGGAAUUGACGGGG
Molecule: ribosomal RNA, 589 nt
Filed under: uncultured bacterium
Lineage: Bacteria
Description: bacterial SSU rRNA
Rfam family: Bacterial small subunit ribosomal RNA
Source: RNAcentral